RNAcentral lists this transfer RNA (71 nucleotides) under bacterium. RNAcentral describes it as "tRNA-Pro". It matches the Rfam family "tRNA". From Rfam's summary of the family: Transfer RNA (tRNA) molecules are approximately 80 nucleotides in length. Their secondary structure includes four short double-helical elements and three loops (D, anti-codon, and T loops). The record is from RNAcentral.
CGGGCCGGCGUAUGAUGGUGGUACGCCUGUUUUGGGAACAGGUAGACCGAGUUCAAUUCUCGGCGGCCCGA